CGGGCUUAACACAUGCAAGUCGAGGGGCAGCAUGGUCUUAGCUUGCUAAGGCCGAUGGCGACCGGCGCACGGGUGAGUAACACGUAUCCAACCUGCCGUCUACUCUUGGACAGCCUUCUGAAAGGAAGAUUAAUACAAGAUGGCAUCAUGAGUCCACAUGUUCACAUGAUUAAAGGUAUUCCGGUAGACGAUGGGGAUGCGUUCCAUUAGAUAGUAGGCGGGGUAACGGCCCACCUAGUCUUCGAUGGAUAGGGGUUCUGAGAGGAAGGUCCCCCACAUUGGAACUGAGACACGGUCCAAACUCCUACGGGAGGCAGCAGUGAGGAAUAUUGGUCAAUGGGCGCAGACCUGAACCAGCCAAGUAGCGUGAAGGAUGACUGCCCUAUGGGUUGUAAACUUCUUUUAUAAAGGAAUAAAGUCGGGUAUGCAUACCCGUUUGCAUGUACUUUAUGAAUAAGGAUCGGCUAACUCCGUGCCAGCAGCCGCGGUAAUACGGAGGAUCCGAGCGUUAUCCGGAUUUAUUGGGUUUAAAGGGAGCGUAGAUGGAUGUUUAAGUCAGUUGUGAAAGUUUGCGGCUCAACCGUAAAAUUGCAGUUGAUACUGGAUAUCUUGAGUGCAGUUGAGGCAGGCGGAAUUCGUGGUGUAGCGGUGAAAUGCUUAGAUAUCACGAAGAACUCCGAUUGCGAAGGCAGCCUGCUAAGCUGCAACUGACAUUGAGGCUCGAAAGUGUGGGUAUCAAACAGGAUUAGAUACCCUGGUAGUCCACACGGUAAACGAUGAAUACUCGCUGUUUGCGAUAUACAGCAAGCGGCCAAGCGAAAGCGUUAAGUAUUCCACUUGGGGAGUACGCCGGCAACGGUGAAACUCAAAGGAAUUGACGGGGGCCCGCACAAGCGGAGGAACAUGUGGUUUAAUUCGAUGAUACGCGAGGAACCUUACCCGGGCUUAAAUUGCAGAUGAAUUACGGUGAAAGCCGUAAGCCGCAAGGCAUCUGUGAAGGUGCUGCAUGGUUGUCGUCAGCUCGUGCCGUGAGGUGUCGGCUUAAGUGCCAUAACGAGCGCAACCCUUGUUGUCAGUUACUAACAGGUUCCGCUGAGGACUCUGACAAGACUGCCAUCGUAAGAUGUGAGGAAGGUGGGGAUGACGUCAAAUCAGCACGGCCCUUACGUCCGGGGCUACACACGUGUUACAAUGGGGGGUACAGAGGGCCGCUACCACGCGAGUGGAUGCCAAUCCCAAAAACCUCUCUCAGUUCGGACUGGAGUGUGCAACCCGACUCCACGAAGCUGGAUUCGCUAGUAAUCGCGCAUCAGCCACGGCGCGGUGAAUACGUUCCCGGGCCUUGUACACACCGCCCGUCAAGCCAUGGGAGCCGGGGGGUACCUGAAGUGCGUAACCGCGAGGAGCGCCCUAGGGUAAAACUGGUGACUG
This 1431-nucleotide ribosomal RNA is filed under the name uncultured organism. RNAcentral's name for it is "SSU rRNA". It matches the Rfam family "Bacterial small subunit ribosomal RNA". The record is from RNAcentral.